GAUGAACGCUGGCGGCGUGCCUAAUACAUGCAUGUCGAGCGAACAGACGAGGAGCUUGCUCCUCUGACGUUAGCGGCGGACGGGUGAGUAACACGUGGAUAACCUACCUAUAAGACUGGGAUAACUUCGGGAAACCGGAGCUAAUACCGGAUAAUAUAUUGAACCGCAUGGUUCAAUAGUGAAAGACGGUUUUGCUGUCACUUAUAGAUGGAUCCGCGCCGCAUUAGCUAGUUGGUAAGGUAACGGCUUACCAAGGCAACGAUGCGUAGCCGACCUGAGAGGGUGAUCGGCCACACUGGAACUGAGACACGGUCCAGACUCCUACGGGAGGCAGCAGUAGGGAAUCUUCCGCAAUGGGCGAAAGCCUGACGGAGCAACGCCGCGUGAGUGAUGAAGGUCUUCGGAUCGUAAAACUCUGUUAUUAGGGAAGAACAAAUGUGUAAGUAACUAUGCACGUCUUGACGGUACCUAAUCAGAAAGCCACGGCUAACUACGU
RNAcentral lists this ribosomal RNA (496 nucleotides) under uncultured bacterium. Its description in RNAcentral is "partial 16S ribosomal RNA". It matches the Rfam family "Bacterial small subunit ribosomal RNA", at positions 28 to 506 of the family's 1533-position model. The record is from RNAcentral.